Molecule: ribosomal RNA, 253 nt
Filed under: uncultured bacterium
Lineage: Bacteria
Description: partial 16S ribosomal RNA
Rfam family: Bacterial small subunit ribosomal RNA
Source: RNAcentral
AACGUAGGAGACAAACGUUAUCCGGAGUUACUGGGCGUAAAGGGCGUGUAGGUGGUUUUGUAAGUCUGGCGUGAAAUUUUUCGGCUUAACCGGGAAAGGUCGUCGGAUACUGCAGGACUAGAGGACGGUAGAGGCGUGUGGAAUUCCGGGUGUAGUGGUGAAAUGCGUAGAGAUGUGGAGGAACACCGAUGGCGAAGGCAGCCCCCUGGGCUGAGAUUGACGCUCAGGCACGAAAGCGUGGGGAGCAAACAGG